RNAcentral lists this ribosomal RNA (464 nucleotides) under Vreelandella stevensii. RNAcentral's name for it is "partial 16S ribosomal RNA". It matches the Rfam family "Bacterial small subunit ribosomal RNA", at positions 338 to 795 of the family's 1533-position model. The record is from RNAcentral. Lineage: Bacteria; Pseudomonadati; Pseudomonadota; Gammaproteobacteria; Oceanospirillales; Halomonadaceae.
CCUACGGGGGCAGCAGUGGGGAAUAUUGGACAAUGGGGGGAACCCUGAUCCAGCCAUGCCGCGUGUGUGAAGAAGGCCCUCGGGUUGUAAAGCACUUUCAGUGAGGAAGAACGCCUGGUGGUUAAUACCCAUCAGGAAAGACAUCACUCACAGAAGAAGCACCGGCUAACUCCGUGCCAGCAGCCGCGGUAAUACGGAGGGUGCGAGCGUUAAUCGGAGUUACUGGGCGUAAAGCGCGCGUAGGUGGCUUGAUAAGCCGGUUGUGAAAGCCCCGGGCUCAACCUGGGAACGGCAUCCGGAACUGUCAAGCUAGAGUGCAGGAGAGGAAGGUAGAAUUCCCGGUGUAGCGGUGAAAUGCGUAGAGAUCGGGAGGAAUACCAGUGGCGAAGGCGGCCUUCUGGACUGACACUGACACUGAGGUGCGAAAGCGUGGGUAGCAAACAGGAUUAGAUACCCGGGUAGUC